Ficedula albicollis (Collared flycatcher) is the source of this 489-nucleotide long non-coding RNA. RefSeq lists it as uncharacterized. The record is from RefSeq and is a predicted model, not a curated record. The transcript is spliced from 3 exons. Lineage: Eukaryota; Metazoa; Chordata; Aves; Passeriformes; Muscicapidae.
UCAAAGAGGUUCUCAGGUGGUCAAAGAGGUUCUCAGGUGGUCAAGGAGCUCUUCAGGUGGCCAAAGAGGAGCUUUUGGUGGCCCAGAAGGUUCUCAGGUGGUCAAAGUGGUGGUCAAGUGGUCAAGGAGGAGCUUUAGGUGGCCAAGGAGGUCCUCAGGUGGCCCAGGAGGAGCUUUAGGUGGCCCAGAAGGACCUUAGGUGGUCAAAGAGGUUCUCAGGUGGCCCAAGAGGUGGUCAGGUGGCCCAGGAGGUUCUCAGGUGGCCCAGGAGGAGCUUUAGGUUGCCCAGAAGGACCUUAGGUGGCCAAGGAGGUCCCCAGGUGGUCAAAGUGGUGGUCAAGUGGUCAAGGAGGAGCUUUAGGUGGCCAAGGAGGUCCUCAGGUGGCCCAGGAGGAGCUUUAGGUGGCCCAGAAGGACCUUAGGUGGUCAAAGAGGUUCUCAGGUGGCCCAAGAGGUGGUCAGGUGGCCCAGGAGGUUCUCAGGUGGCCC